AGUGAACGCUGGCGGUAGGCCUAACACAUGCAAGUCGAACGGCAGCACAGUAAGAGCUUGCUCUUACGGGUGGCGAGUGGCGGACGGGUGAGGAAUACAUCGGAAUCUACUUUUUCGUGGGGGAUAACGUAGGGAAACUUACGCUAAUACCGCAUACGACCUACGGGUGAAAGCAGGGGAUCUUCGGACCUUGCGCGAUUGAAUGAGCCGAUGUCGGAUUAGCUAGUUGGCGGGGUAAAGGCCCACCAAGGCGACGAUCCGUAGCUGGUCUGAGAGGAUGAUCAGCGACACUGGAACUGAGACACGGUCCAGACUCCUACGGGAGGCAGCAGUGGGGAAUAUUGGACAAUAGGCGCAAGCAUGAUCCAGCCAUACCGCGUGGGUGAAGAAGGCCUUCGGGUUGUAAAGCCCUUUUGUUGGGAAAGAAAAGCAGCAGGUUAAUACCCCGCUGUUCUGACGGUACCCAAAGAAUAAGCACCGGCUAACUUCGUG
RNAcentral lists this ribosomal RNA (492 nucleotides) under uncultured bacterium. RNAcentral describes it as "partial 16S ribosomal RNA". It matches the Rfam family "Bacterial small subunit ribosomal RNA", at positions 29 to 507 of the family's 1533-position model. The record is from RNAcentral.